Molecule: RNase P RNA, 337 nt
Filed under: Candidatus Copromonas faecavium (nom. illeg.)
Lineage: Bacteria; Bacillati; Bacillota; Clostridia; Lachnospirales; Lachnospiraceae
Description: Bacterial RNase P class A
Rfam family: Bacterial RNase P class A
About the family: Ribonuclease P (RNase P) is a ubiquitous endoribonuclease, found in archaea, bacteria and eukarya as well as chloroplasts and mitochondria. Its best characterised activity is the generation of mature 5'-ends of tRNAs by cleaving the 5'-leader elements of precursor-tRNAs.
Source: RNAcentral
GAGUGGGACAGGUGGUCGCUGCUGCGCGAAAGACGCAGGAGAGGAAAGUCCGGGCUUCACAGGGCAGGAUGCCAGAUAACGUCUGGCGAAGGCGACUUCAGGGACAGUGCAACAGAAAUAAACCGCAUGGCUUGCCAUGUAAGGGUGGAAAGGCAGUGUAAGAGACUACCGCCUCACUGGUAACAGGGAGGGCACAUGUAAACCCCAUCCGAAGCAAGGCCGAACAGGGAGCAUAAGGCGGCCCGUCUGCUUCCGGGUUGGCUGCUUGAGCCGUCUGGUGACAGGCGGCCUAGAUAGAUGACCAUCCGCGACAUAACCCGGCUUAUCGUCCCGCUCA